RNAcentral lists this ribosomal RNA (2904 nucleotides) under Escherichia coli. RNAcentral describes it as "partial 23S ribosomal RNA". It matches the Rfam family "Bacterial large subunit ribosomal RNA". The record is from RNAcentral. Lineage: Bacteria; Pseudomonadati; Pseudomonadota; Gammaproteobacteria; Enterobacterales; Enterobacteriaceae.
GGGUUGUGAGGUUAAGCGACUAAGCGUACACGGUGGAUGCCCUGGCAGUCAGAGGCGAUGAAGGACGUGCUAAUCUGCGAUAAGCGUCGGUAAGGUGAUAUGAACCGUUAUAACCGGCGAUUUCCGAAUGGGGAAACCCAGUGUGAUUCGUCACACUAUCAUUAACUGAAUCCAUAGGUUAAUGAGGCGAACCGGGGGAACUGAAACAUCUAAGUACCCCGAGGAAAAGAAAUCAACCGAGAUUCCCCCAGUAGCGGCGAGCGAACGGGGAGGAGCCCAGAGCCUGAAUCAGUGUGUGUGUUAGUGGAAGCGUCUGGAAAGGCGUGCGAUACAGGGUGACAGCCCCGUACACAAAAAUGCACAUACUGUGAGCUCGAUGAGUAGGGCGGGACACGUGGUAUCCUGUCUGAAUAUGGGGGGACCAUCCUCCAAGGCUAAAUACUCCUGACUGACCGAUAGUGAACCAGUACCGUGAGGGAAAGGCGAAAAGAACCCCGGCGAGGGGAGUGAAAAAGAACCUGAAACCGUGUACGUACAAGCAGUGGGAGCCUCUUAAUGGGGUGACUGCGUACCUUUUGUAUAAUGGGUCAGCGACUUAUAUUCUGUAGCAAGGUUAACCGAAUAGGGGAGCCGAAGGGAAACCGAGUCUUAACUGGGCGUUAAGUUGCAGGGUAUAGACCCGAAACCCGGUGAUCUAGCCAUGGGCAGGUUGAAGGUUGGGUAACACUAACUGGAGGACCGAACCGACUAAUGUUGAAAAAUUAGCGGAUGACUUGUGGCUGGGGGUGAAAGGCCAAUCAAACCGGGAGAUAGCUGGUUCUCCCCGAAAGCUAUUUAGGUAGCGCCUCGUGAAUUCAUCUCCGGGGGUAGAGCACUGUUUCGGCAAGGGGGUCAUCCCGACUUACCAACCCGAUGCAAACUGCGAAUACCGGAGAAUGUUAUCACGGGAGACACACGGCGGGUGCUAACGUCCGUCGUGAAGAGGGAAACAACCCAGACCGCCAGCUAAGGUCCCAAAGUCAUGGUUAAGUGGGAAACGAUGUGGGAAGGCCCAGACAGCCAGGAUGUUGGCUUAGAAGCAGCCAUCAUUUAAAGAAAGCGUAAUAGCUCACUGGUCGAGUCGGCCUGCGCGGAAGAUGUAACGGGGCUAAACCAUGCACCGAAGCUGCGGCAGCGACACUAUGUGUUGUUGGGUAGGGGAGCGUUCUGUAAGCCUGUGAAGGUGUACUGUGAGGUAUGCUGGAGGUAUCAGAAGUGCGAAUGCUGACAUAAGUAACGAUAAAGCGGGUGAAAAGCCCGCUCGCCGGAAGACCAAGGGUUCCUGUCCAACGUUAAUCGGGGCAGGGUGAGUCGACCCCUAAGGCGAGGCCGAAAGGCGUAGUCGAUGGGAAACAGGUUAAUAUUCCUGUACUUGGUGUUACUGCGAAGGGGGGACGGAGAAGGCUAUGUUGGCCGGGCGACGGUUGUCCCGGUUUAAGCGUGUAGGCUGGUUUUCCAGGCAAAUCCGGAAAAUCAAGGCUGAGGCGUGAUGACGAGGCACUACGGUGCUGAAGCAACAAAUGCCCUGCUUCCAGGAAAAGCCUCUAAGCAUCAGGUAACAUCAAAUCGUACCCCAAACCGACACAGGUGGUCAGGUAGAGAAUACCAAGGCGCUUGAGAGAACUCGGGUGAAGGAACUAGGCAAAAUGGUGCCGUAACUUCGGGAGAAGGCACGCUGAUAUGUAGGUGAAGUCCCUCGCGGAUGGAGCUGAAAUCAGUCGAAGAUACCAGCUGGCUGCAACUGUUUAUUAAAAACACAGCACUGUGCAAACACGAAAGUGGACGUAUACGGUGUGACGCCUGCCCGGUGCCGGAAGGUUAAUUGAUGGGGUUAGCGGUAACGCGAAGCUCUUGAUCGAAGCCCCGGUAAACGGCGGCCGUAACUAUAACGGUCCUAAGGUAGCGAAAUUCCUUGUCGGGUAAGUUCCGACCUGCACGAAUGGCGUAAUGAUGGCCAGGCUGUCUCCACCCGAGACUCAGUGAAAUUGAACUCGCUGUGAAGAUGCAGUGUACCCGCGGCAAGACGGAAAGACCCCGUGAACCUUUACUAUAGCUUGACACUGAACAUUGAGCCUUGAUGUGUAGGAUAGGUGGGAGGCUUUGAAGUGUGGACGCCAGUCUGCAUGGAGCCGGCCUUGAAAUACCACCCUUUAAUGUUUGAUGUUCUAACGUUGGCCCCUGACCGGGGUUGCGGACAGUGUCUGGUGGGUAGUUUGACUGGGGCGGUCUCCUCCUAAAGAGUAACGGAGGAGCACGAAGGUUGGCUAAUCCUGGUCGGACAUCAGGAGGUUAGUGCAAUGGCAUAAGCCAGCUUGACUGCGAGCGUGACGGCGCGAGCAGGUGCGAAAGCAGGUCAUAGUGAUCCGGUGGUUCUGAAUGGAAGGGCCAUCGCUCAACGGAUAAAAGGUACUCCGGGGAUAACAGGCUGAUACCGCCCAAGAGUUCAUAUCGACGGCGGUGUUUGGCACCUCGAUGUCGGCUCAUCACAUCCUGGGGCUGAAGUAGGUCCCAAGGGUAUGGCUGUUCGCCAUUUAAAGUGGUACGCGAGCUGGGUUUAGAACGUCGUGAGACAGUUCGGUCCCUAUCUGCCGUGGGCGCUGGAGAACUGAGGGGGGCUGCUCCUAGUACGAGAGGACCGGAGUGGACGCAUCACUGGUGUUCGGGUUGUCAUGCCAAUGGCACUGCCCGGUAGCUAAAUGCGGAAGAGAUAAGUGCUGAAAGCAUCUAAGCACGAAACUUGCCCCGAGAUGAGUUCUCCCUGACUCCUUGAGAGUCCUGAAGGAACGUUGAAGACGACGACGUUGAUAGGCCGGGUGUGUAAGCGCAGCGAUGCGUUGAGCUAACCGGUACUAAUGAACCGUGAGG